This 497-nucleotide ribosomal RNA is filed under the name uncultured bacterium. RNAcentral describes it as "partial 16S ribosomal RNA". It matches the Rfam family "Bacterial small subunit ribosomal RNA", at positions 28 to 507 of the family's 1533-position model. The record is from RNAcentral.
GAUGGACGCUGGCGGCGUGCCUAAUACAUGCAAGUCGAGCGAACGGACGAGAAGCUUGCUUCUCUGAUGUUAGCGGCGGACGGGUGAGUAACACGUGGAUAACCUACCUAUAAGACUGGGAUAACUUCGGGAAACCGGAGCUAAUACCGGAUGAUAUUUUGAACCGCAUGGUUCAAAAGUGAAAGACGGUCUUGCUGUCACUUAUAGAUGGAUCCGCGCUGCAUUAGCUAGUUGGUAAGGUAACGGCUUACCAAGGCAACGAUGCAUAGCCGACCUGAGAGGGUGAUCGGCCACACUGGAACUGAGACACGGUCCAGACUCCUACGGGAGGCAGCAGUAGGGAAUCUUCCGCAAAGGGCGAAGGCCUGACGGAGCAACGCCGCGUGAGUGAUGAAGGUCUUCGGAUCGUAAAACUCUGUUAUUAGGGAAGAACAUAUGUGUAAGUAACUGUGCACAUCUUGACGGUACCUAAUCAGAAAGCCACGGCUAACUACGUG